UAGCCCAAACCAAUAAAGUUUUCUUUAUUGGGGUUGCGGACAUAUCUUAAACGAAGAGGUAUCGUAAUUGAAGAGGUUUGGAAAGACCCACCACAGAAGGUAAUAGUCCUGUAUGUCAAACGAGAAAACUUCAGAUAUGAUCCAGAGUACCACGGGACACGUGAAACCCUGUGGGAAGCAGGAGGGACCACCCUCCAAGGCUAAAUACUACCUAGUGACCGAUAGCGUAUAGUACCGUGAGGGAAAGGUGAAAAG
This 255-nucleotide ribosomal RNA is filed under the name Clostridioides sp. ZZV14-6044. RNAcentral's name for it is "partial 23S ribosomal RNA". It matches the Rfam family "Bacterial large subunit ribosomal RNA", at positions 264 to 521 of the family's 2925-position model. The record is from RNAcentral. RNAcentral also lists the same sequence under 1 other name. Lineage: Bacteria; Bacillati; Bacillota; Clostridia; Peptostreptococcales; Peptostreptococcaceae.